This 406-nucleotide ribosomal RNA is filed under the name uncultured bacterium. Its description in RNAcentral is "partial 16S ribosomal RNA". It matches the Rfam family "Bacterial small subunit ribosomal RNA", at positions 28 to 526 of the family's 1533-position model. The record is from RNAcentral.
GACGAACGCUGGCGGCGCGCUUAACACAUGCAAGUCGCGCGAGGCGGCGGACGGGUGAUUAACACGUGAGUAACCUGCCUUAUACAUUGGGAUAGCCUCGGGAAACCGGGAUUAAUACCAAAUGGUCUAAGAUGGACUCUCGUCCCAUUAGCUAGUUGGGAGGUAACGGCCCACCAAGGCGACGAUGGGUAGCCGGGAUGGGAGGGUGAACGGCGACAUUGGAACGGAGAAUCGGUACAAACUCUUCGGGAGGCAGCAGUGGGGAAUAUUGCACAAUGGAGGGAACUCGGAUGCAGCGACGCCGCGUGAACGAAGAAGGCUUUCGAGUCGUAAAGUGCGUUUAUAUGGGAAGCGGUACCAUAAGAAAAAGCCCCGGCUAACUACGUGCCAGCAGCCGCGGUAAUUC